This 497-nucleotide ribosomal RNA is filed under the name uncultured bacterium. RNAcentral describes it as "partial 16S ribosomal RNA". It matches the Rfam family "Bacterial small subunit ribosomal RNA", at positions 28 to 507 of the family's 1533-position model. The record is from RNAcentral.
GAUGAACGCUGGCGGUGUGCCUAACACAUGCAAGUCGAGCGACAACACAAUAAGAGUUUUCUCCUACGGUUAGCGACUGGCGGACGAGUAAGAAAUACAUCACCUUCUACUUUUUCUUGGGUAACAACGGGGGAAAGCUGCCACUACUAGCGCAUACAAUCUACGGCAUAGAUCAAGAGUUCAUGACAGCUUUCCCGUUUCUUAUAGCCGGAUCCGCGUCGGAUUAGCUAGUUGGUAAGGUAACGGCUUACCAAGGCAACGAUGCGUAGCUGACCUGAGAGGGUGAUCGGCCACACUGGAACUGAGACACGGUCCAGACUCCUACGGGAAGCAGCAGUAGGGAAUCUUCCGCAAUGGGCGAAAGCCUGACCGAGCAACGCCGCGUGAGUGAUGAAGGUCUUCGGAUCGUAAAACUCUGUUAUUAGGGAAGAACAAAUGUGUAAGUAACUAUGCACGUCUUGACGGUACCUAAUCAGAAAGCCACGGCUAACUACGUG